GGUUGCGAUUAUACCAGCAGUAAUGCACCGGAUCCCACCAGAACUCCGAAGUUAAACGUUCUUGAGCGAGAGUAGUACUAAGAUGGGUGACUGAUGUGUGCUACUUGUGUUAGCUACAA
RNAcentral lists this ribosomal RNA (119 nucleotides) under Ricinus communis (castor bean). The record is from RNAcentral. Lineage: Eukaryota; Viridiplantae; Streptophyta; Magnoliopsida; Malpighiales; Euphorbiaceae.